Molecule: long non-coding RNA, 2386 nt
Filed under: Varroa destructor (honeybee mite)
Lineage: Eukaryota; Metazoa; Arthropoda; Arachnida; Mesostigmata; Varroidae
Description: uncharacterized LOC111251824
Source: RNAcentral
GCGGUUUCUUGUUCACACAUAUCCACGACGCUGAUUCGUUUCGAGACGAAGAAACCUUAAUAACGACUGAGAUCGUGCUGGUUACGCCAAAAGGUCUUCGGCGAUUGUGCCUUCAUCGUACACACAAUACUUCACACGACUACGACCAUAUUAACUAUCAAACGUUGGAUAUUGCACUCAAGGGACAGCGCAGUGCAGACGAGCUGCUGCCGCUGCCCCUGCCCCUGCCGCCACCGCUGCUGCUACCAGUAGAUUUGUGAAGCUUUAAUGAAGAUGGAUCGGCUAUCGGUUGGUUAGGUUCGCAUUAGCGCACCAGAGGCUGAUGGCGAAAUGGGUGACGACAUGGUGACUAGCUUCGAAUAUUUCGAGCUGUGCGCAGCCGACUGUGAAGAACAGAAGGUUCAGGCUAGAGGCCCUGGCAACCGAAGCUAGUUCUAGUUUGGCGGCAGACUGAAGAUCCGACUUAGCUGAACUUAACAGAAAAACGAUAGUGACUAUAGAGCGGAACCAAAGGCUAAAUGAAAUGGUGACACAGUUGCCGAAAUCAAGCUGCAGAUACACUAGUACGCUUGGAAUGAAAAACAGGCAGGGUGACAGCAAGAAUGAAAGAGGCUGAGGUUAUCGAGAUGCGGCCAAAAGCUGCUGGCGAUUGGCGUAUCAUCGGUCAAUGAAACGCGCUCGACUGGAAGGACCAGAUACUGGACCUAAACCAUCAUCGUCAUCGAUAGUAAUUUUUAUUUGUUCCCUGAUCCGCAACCCUUUAGUAACAACCCAGCGUCAGUGAUAUUGGUACCGGCGUAAAAAAUCUCGCGGAAUAGAUAUUCUCACCCACAAGAGGCAUCUAUGGCGCGCGGGACAGGACGUUGUAGGUUAGAAACGCCUAUCAAUUUUCCCGAAAGGACCCGCCGCGUUUCUCGAGGAAAAGUAUAGCCAGUUGUAAGUUGCGCUCGAAUCUACUACAUGAUAUUUUCGUUAUUUAUAAAAACAGAACAAGCCUAGGAAGGAGCGCCUUGCACAGAAGUAUUGCUAUGAUUGUUUUUGAAAAUUUUCUGCGUUUUCGCAUUUUUCAUUUAUAUUUUACGAUCAAAUCUCUCAAAACCCAAACUUUUUUCUAUAGUCGAACAAGUGAUAAUCAUUGAUACAAUAAAUAUAUAAUAACAGGAACUGGACCUUGGCCGAACUCGUUGUCGUUCGUAUCGGUUGUAACGAAUGAGUGAUGAAACGAAGCGCAAAACCCAAUUAGCAUAAUACAAGCUUGUAUCUAAAAUACAGAUACAUUAGCAGUAUUAAUGGUUAUUAAAUUGAAAGUAGGAUAUUGUUAUGGAUUGGAGCACGAUCAAAUACGUAUAGUCUCGCAGUGUUCGCGUAUUUCUUUUUAGAGGAUGACCAUCAUUAGUUGCCUCUGGGCAUCCCAAACGGGUCAGGUGAACGUUCGUCUUGUUUUAAACUACGUAUUGCGGUUGACUAGAUGAACCGCACACUUCAUAUUUCAUUGUGGUUUUGAUUAGGCUUCCUAAAGCACAUCUAGCCAUGUGCUUUACUCAGCCCAAUCUCAGAUCGUAUUUGGAACUGUUGCAGAACCUGCAGCUCGGCGGAGGCAACGCGGAUAUCAGAUCAGAUCUGACCGCGUGUUGUUUUUUUUGUUCUAUUAAUCACCUAGUGUGCUUUAUCGCUGUGCCCCGGAGAACAAUGCUGCGUCUAUCCCUUCAUGAUAGCUUGGAAUCGCUUUAACUAAACGUACGAAUACGGGUAUGCACAGGAAACUAAUGCCCGCUACAACCAUGUCGCGUUCCGUUGUACAAUCCGCGUCUAUCCGCUGUCAACAGAACACGAUGCUAUGCCAGAUGUAAGUUUGAAACCCGGUUUCCGCUUAUGUUUACGACGCUACGGGGUCAGCGAGCUCAACAACGAUCAUAUCUUGUCUGUUGUUUCGCUAACUGAAUAAAGCUGAAUAAAGUUCGGUGCUAUAGCACGUUGAUCUAUAUAUAAAAAGUGUAAGUGUAUCAAUUAUUUUUUGCCUAUUAUAAUGAAAUUUCGGGUCCUUUUCAUCUAAAUUUCAUUGAGGAUUCUCCGAUUUGUUUCCUGGGAAAUUUCUCUUAAUUCCUUAAAAACCACCUGAAAACCCGUAACAACGUCGAUCGUUCAUCUCCUUUUCGGUAGAGGUUCGUCCCGCGUGAACACAAUGGAUAAUAGCUGACCUUCAAAUUUUUCUCAAAUUCAAAAAACGACGCACUAUUUUUCGUCAUUAUGACUUCGCUGUUUUAUUCCAUAAAAAAAACUGGCCCUAUUCCGGUAUCAAAGAUGGCGAAUGAGCACAGGCCCGCUGGACGAACAACCCGCCAAGGCCUGGCCUAAUUUAAACGUCCCACGUUGUAUAUGGUGCAUA